RNAcentral lists this ribosomal RNA (253 nucleotides) under uncultured bacterium. Its description in RNAcentral is "partial 16S ribosomal RNA". It matches the Rfam family "Bacterial small subunit ribosomal RNA", at positions 524 to 776 of the family's 1533-position model. The record is from RNAcentral.
UACGUAGGUGGCAAGCGUUGUCCGGAUUUAUUGGGUUUAAAGGGUGCGUAGGCGGCCCUGUAAGUCAGUGCUGAAAUAUCCCGGCUUAACCGGGAGGGUGGCAUUGAUACUGCGGGGCUAGAGUACAGAUGAGGUAGGCGGAAUUGACGGUGUAGCGGUGAAAUGCUUAGAUAUCGGAAGGAACAUCAGUGGCGAAGGCGACUUCCUGGACCAAUACUGACGCUCAGGUGCGAAAGCGUGGGGAGCAAACAGG